This 367-nucleotide unclassified non-coding RNA is filed under the name uncultured bacterium. RNAcentral describes it as "contains 16S-23S intergenic spacer region". The record is from RNAcentral.
UCCCGGUUGGCCCGGGCGGUCUCGCGUGAAAAAUACAACACACGACAAGGGUUGCGCUCGUUGCGGGACUUAACCCAACAUCUCACGACACGAGCUGACGACGGCCAUGCAGCGCCUGUCACCGAUCCAGCCGAACUGACCCCCUAGUCUCCUAGGAGUACGAUCGGGAUGUCAAGGGUGGGUAAGGUUCUACGCGUAGCAUCGAAUUAAACCACAUGAUCCACUGCUUGUGCGGAGCCCCGUCAAUUCCUUUGAGUUUUAGCCUUGCGGCCGUACUUCCCAGGCGGCACACUUAACGCGUUAGCUUCUCCGCACAGGGGGUCGAUACCCCAUACGAAUAGUGUGCAUCGUUUACGGCGUGGACUAC